Long non-coding RNA from Danio rerio (zebrafish), 2606 nucleotides. Lineage: Eukaryota; Metazoa; Chordata; Actinopteri; Cypriniformes; Danionidae. The record is from Ensembl.
GUGUGUGAGUCUGUACACUGCAUCUGGAGAGUGUUGGCAGCGCUUCAGUUUCUCCACAUGUGUUUAUGUUACACUCUUAUUCCACAAUGGAUUCACUUGAUUAACGCCAAAGCCUGUGAUACUGAUGCACAUCUGAUUAUUCAGCUUUUUAUUCUUAAUAAAUCUGCAACUAUUUCUAAAACUCUCUCCACAUGGUCAUUAUGGGGGAUUGUGUGUAGAAUGUUGAGGAAAUCAAAUUUGGAAUACGGCUGUAACAUAAACACAUGGAGACAAAGUCAAGCCGGAUGCAGUGUACUUGUGUGUGUGAGUGGGUGUUUGUGUUUGUUGGUGUGUUAAACCCUGUAUUAAUAUACAAAUGUCCCCACAAAUAUAUCAAAACCAGUAACUGUAACUUUAUGGGGACAUGUUCUGGUCCUCAUGAGGCACACAGGGCUGAUGAAUGGAGGAGUGUGGAGAUGAAGGAGUGCGGAGUGUGUGCUGUGAGGGGUGAGGAGAGAAUAUACAGUCUGUACAGCACAAACGUCAGCUGUGUGUGUGUGUGUGUGUGUUUGAUCCUCAGCUAUGCCUCAAAGCCCAGUGAGGACUACGAGGACCCUCAGGAUGUGGAGGGCAUCCGUGCGGCUCGGGAGAAUCUGGGCGACUGUAAGCUGAAGUCUGCAGAGGACUUCACCGUUCCUGAACACCUGAGGAUGAACGUGGAGAAGAAGAGAGCGCAGCUGCUGGAGCUGGAGAGGAAGGUCAACACACACACACACACACACACACACACACACAUCAAAGCAUUUCGAGCGGAGUGUAUGCCAGUGUCUUUGAGCAGCUCGUGCGUCUGUGUCCUGCAGAUCUUUGAGCAGAAGUCUGAGAUGAACCUGCGUGUGCUGGCGCUGCGGGACCAGAAGGUGGCGCUGCUGUCUGAGCUGCAGGCGCAGGUGGAGCAGCUGCAGGCCGUCCAGCAGACCCUGCCGCUCCAGAAGCACCGCCCGCUGCCCGCGCUGCCCGUCCUGCUGCCCGCCGAGGUGCCCGAGAGGAGGCACCGCUACACCCGCGCCACCCUGGAGCGCUUCAACACGCUGAGACUGCAGGAGGAGCAGGACAUCCUGGAGCUGCUGGAGGCGCAGGACACACACACAGAGGAGGACACACACACCCAGAGCCAGGACACACACGCGGUGGAGGACACACACUCUCAGCAGGAGGAGCUGACACUGCUGGAGGAGCAGAUGAGGGAGAUGGAGGAGGCCAGGGGACUGAACCUGCAGGAGCAGCUGCUUACACAGGUCACACACACACACACACACACGCACACACACACACACACACACACACUGACGGCUCUGUGUGUGUCACUGCAGAUGCAGGACAGUGUGUGUCGCUUCGAUGCGGAGCUGUGUGUUCUGCGUCAUGAGAAGCAGCAGCUGGACGUGAGUCUGAAACUGGCGGACCUCCGACACGUGACGCUGUUCGAGGAGCUGCUGCUGCUAAGGGACUUCCAGAAGAGGGAGGAGAAGCUGACCGAGAGACUGCGCACAUACCGGCAGGAGGAGGACGACAUACAGGUCAGUGUGUGUGUGUGUGUGUGUGUGUGUAUCUUGUAUUCUGUAGGUUGUGGGGCCCAAAUGUCCCCACAAGUAUGGCAUUACCAGUACACGUUAACCUUGUGGGGACAUUUUUUAGUCUCUAUGAGGAAAAGGGCUCAUAAAUCAGACAGAAUAAGUAUUGUGUGUGUGUGUGUGUGUGUGUGUGUGUGUCAGGGCCGCAUGCGUGAGUGUCAGCGUCAGAUGGAGCUGAGGAAGCGUGAUGUUCAGCGUCUGCAGAACAGAGAGAAGAGCAUCUCCACCUCCUUCCAGACGUCUCUGGGGGAGAACCAGCGCUUCGAGGAGUUUCUGACCCGCGUCUUCAAGAAGAAGAUCAGGAGGACCAAGAAGAAAGAGACACACACCGCUCAAGAUGGAGAUCAGUCUGAGGAUGAAGAGGACAGUGAUGAAGACUCUGAUGAAGACUCAGACGCAGAGGAUGAGGACGACUAUGAGGAGUCUGAGGCUGGAGCUGCACUGGACGACACUGUGUGUCCACCGAGUAAGAUCAACACACACACACACACCCACACACACACAGACACAUAUACAAGUUUAUUUUAUGUGUGUGUGUGUGUUUACAUGCAUGUGUGUGUGUGUGUGUGUGCUGCAGACUGUGACGCUGCGCUCUUCGAGAACACACUGCGUCUGCGGGAUCUCCGUGUGGAUGUGGAGGAGCAGCUGCAGGACCAGAUGAAGACGCUCGACACCCUGAAGAAGGACUACGACACACUGAGCAAGAAGGUGACAGGAACACACACACACACCAUACAUGCACACACACACACACACACACACACGUGCACACACACAGCUUUCCUUCUGUCCAUCCAGCCUAAAGAGUGUGCAUGUGUGUGUGUGCAUGCAUNNNNNNNNNNNNNNNNNNNNNNNNNNNNNNNNNNNNNNNNNNNNNNNNNNNNNNNNNNNNNNNNNNNNNNNNNNNNNNNNNNNNNNNNNNNNNNNNNNNNCUGCGCCUGCAUCAGGUGCGUCACACACACACACACACACAGGCAACAUAAUGAGACAUCAGAGUGA